ACACUUAGUUGGACGGGAUUUAUGGGCGAUCAAGACGACCCAUGGCCGAGGUUGGUGACCUCCACUGGGGUGCCCUCCUAAGGUCGGCUCAAGUGGCCAAAUCUAUGUCAUAAUUUGGGACAGCGGGGGCCUGCAUUCGUGCAGCCCCUAC
Nicotiana sylvestris (wood tobacco) is the source of this 151-nucleotide non-coding RNA. The record is from Rfam. Lineage: Eukaryota; Viridiplantae; Streptophyta; Magnoliopsida; Solanales; Solanaceae.